CGACCAAUGGUGUCACUGGGGUCUCAUUGAGAACCCUAGGAAGAGCAAUGGUUGCAUCCACCAAAAGAAGCAACCUGUACGUGACAGCUCGGCUCAAGAAAGGCAAGAAGUUCGAUCACCCCUGGCCUUCCAACCCUGACCCGAACGUCAAAGGAGGAGUCUUGUCUUACCUCUCCACUUUCAAACCCUUGGGGGACACUCAAAAGCCCGUCACUCUUGAUUUCGAGAAGCCACUCGUUGAACUCGAGAAGAAGAUUGUCGAUGUAAGAAGAACUAAUAAUACUAACUCAUUGUCAGAAGCGAAGCCAUUUCUCUUUUAACAUUGGUCCUUUUGGUGGUGGAUGCAGGUGAGGAAGAUGGCGGCUGAAACUGGUUUGGACUUCACUGAUCAGAUCAUCACUUUGGAAACCAAGUAUAGACAGGCGCUGAAGGAUCUUUACACGCAUCUCACACCGAUACAGCGCGUGAACAUUGCACGACAUCCCAACCGUCCUACUUUCCUUGAUCAUAUACAUAACAUCACUGACAAGGUCUGCUCUCUCGUUACUAUGCUCUUUUUUUGUUUGUUUGUCAUGCAUUGGAGAUAAACUUUUGUUUCUCUUGUUUCAGUUUAUGGAGCUUCAUGGAGACAGGGCGGGUUAUGAUGAUCCAGCCAUUGUGACUGGUAUUGGAACCAUAGAUGGGAAACGUUAUAUGUUCAUUGGUCACCAGAAAGGAAGAAACACCAAAGAGAAUAUAAUGCGUAACUUUGGGAUGCCUACUCCUCAUGGGUAUGUUAUGUUUGUCUUUUAAGAAGUUCAUGUUUUGUUGUUAAAUAGUAGUUAACGACACUCUCAUUAAAUCUUCUGUAAUGCCAACAACAGUUAUAGGAAGGCGUUACGGAUGAUGUAUUACGCAGACCAUCAUGGUUUCCCCAUUGUGACUUUCAUCGACACUCCUGGAGCCUAUGCAGAUCUUAAAUCUGAGGAACUUGGACAGGUACAUGAACUGUCUUUUAUGUUUGAAGCGUACUGGUUUGUCUUCAUCACUGCAUUUUUUUUUUUGUCUGUUAUGUGUAUAAUAGGGUGAAGCGAUUGCCAACAAUCUGAGGACAAUGUUCGGCUUGAAAGUGCCGAUUCUUUCUAUUGUCAUUGGAGAAGGUGGUUCUGGAGGUGCCUUGGCUAUUGGCUGUGCUAAUAAAAUGCUGAUGCUUGAAAACGCUGUUUUCUAUGUUGCCAGGUAAGAACUUUCCUCCAAUGUAGGUAAGAAUAUUAUUACAGGUUGGUUUAUUCUGUGUGUUGUUAUGCUUUCACAGUCCAGAGGCAUGUGCAGCGAUCUUGUGGAAUAGUUCCAAGGCUGCUCCUGAGGUCUGUACACUGUUCUGUUAAGUGAAUUGUGUAAAUAUCUGAUGUUGUUACAAUUGAUUGAAAACUCUUGUAUGCAGGCUGCUGAAAAGCUUAGAAUUACCUCCAGGGAGUUGGUUAAGCUUAAUGUAGCCGAUGGAAUCAUACCUGUAACUAUCUCUACCUCUAGUCUAUUUGUUUUAGCCUCUUUUGUUGCUUUGGUUUGAUGAGUUACUCUCUCUUACAUGUUGUACAGGAACCUCUUGGUGGUGCUCAUGCUGAUCCUUCAUGGACGUCGCAGCAGAUAAAGAUUGCUAUCAAUGAAAACAUGAAUGUACGUAGCCUCAAAGCUGGAUAUGGAUCAGAAAACGUUCUAACUUAUUUUUUUUUUCAGGAAUUUGGAAAAAUGAGUGGGGAGGAGCUGCUGAAGCACAGGAUGGCUAAGUACAGAAAGAUUGGAGUGUUCAUUGAGAAUGCUCCUGUAGAGCCAGAGAUUAAAGUCAACAUGAAGAGGAGAGACGCUGUGAUCUCCAAUAGCCGGAAGCUGGAGGGGGAAGUUGAGAAGCUAAGAGACCAGAUUCUGAAAGCCAAGGAGACUUCUUCAGAGGAAGCGCCGUCUAGUGAAGUUCUUAACGAGAUGAUUAAGAAACUUAAGUCAGAGAUAGAUGAUGAGUACACUGAAGCUGCAAGAGCAAUGGGUUUGGAGGAGAGACUAACAGCAAUGCGCGGAGAAUUCUCAAAGGCGAGUGCAGAGGAGCAUCUUAUGCAUCCUAUUCUGAUAGAGAAGAUUGAGAAGCUUAAAGAAGAGUUCAAUACACGUUUGAGUGAAGCACCUAACUACGAGAGCCUCAAAUCUAAGCUUGACAUGUUGAGAGACUUUUCAAGAGCCAAGGCAGCUUCAGAAGCUGCUUCAGUGAGAAAUGAGAUCAAUAAGCGGUUUCAAGAAGCUGUGGACCGUCCUGAAGUUAGAGAGAAGGUUGAGGCGAUCAAAGCCGAGGUUGCGAGCUCAGGAGCAUCAUCUUUUGAAGAGCUGAGUGAUGAGCUGAAGGAAAAAGUUUUGAAGACGAAAGGGGAGGUCGAAGCAGAGAUGGCUGGUGUGUUGAAGUCAAUGGGCCUAGAGCUUGAGGCUGUGAAACCGAAUGUGGCUGAGCAGAUCUUUGUUCCGAGCGAAAACAUUCAAGAGAAAGUUGAAAAGCUGAACCGAGAGAUCAGUGAGAAGAUUGAGGAGGUGGUGAGGACGCCAGAGAUCAAGAGCAUGGUGGAGUUGCUGAAAGUGGAGAACGCAAAGGCGAGUCAGACGCCAGGUGAUACUAAAGUGAGUCAGAAGAUAGAGACUCUUGAGCAGCAGAUCAAGCAGAAGAUUGCAGAUGCUUUAAGCAUGUCAGGACUGCAGGAAAAGCAAGAGGAGCUUGAGAAGGAGCUCGCGGUUGCACGUGAAUUAGCUGCAGAGAAAUCACAGGAGAGCCUGAAGGAAGAUGAUGAUGAUGAUGAUGACGAUGAAGACGGUUCAGAAUCUCACAAAUAUUUAAUAGAAUUAGAAAAUUAGUGAAUUGGAUAACACUAAAAUUUAAAGUAUUUUAGUAGAAUGAUUUCACAUACAUAAUCCAAUAACAUAAGAAUUUUUUAAAAAAAUUGAUAAAAUACAUAGUAGAUCAAUUAUAACAAAAAUAAUUUAAUGGAAAUUUCAAUUCUUUUAAAUUCAUUUGAAUUUCGAACUAAAACUAAAUCACUUUGUAACCAAAUCAAAAGUAGUUCGGUUGAGUUUGGCUGGAUCAAAGUAGUCAAACCGAACCGAAUCCAAAUUCAACCCACCUCUGGUAGAGAAGGGAGAAGUACAUAUUCAUGUUUUUUUCCGUUACAAGUUUUAAACAAAUUGAUUCCAACAGAAGUACAAAACUCCAAUGACUUAGAGGGUCUAGCGAAGCAGAUCAUAAUGGUUUCUACCACUGUAAAGAAGCCUAACAACAUUCUUCUUGUUGUUCCCUUUUCCCCAGCCUCCUCUAAACUCAGCUCCAUACUCUGCAAUCGGUAUAAAACCCGACCCAUACCCUCCUCCUCCUCCUCCUCCUCCUCCUCUCCUAUGCUGCAAAAUCAAGAUCCGAAUACAAACUGAGACCUGGCUUGUUUUACUAGAACAAAAGAAACAAGGAUUCUACUCAAGAUACCUCAUGCUCUGGUAUGUAGACGAUGAUUGGCUGUUUACAUAGCUUGGAAAGAACCUGUUAAAAGCAAAAACACCGUGGCUUUGAAAAUUGAUAAGGAACAUCUUGAGGUUUACAAUGCAGAGAAGCUACUACUCACUAGCAACUCAGACUCUCCUCCCCAGAAAUCAUGUCUUCCAAUCCGCUGACAAUACCUGAAGCAAAACAACAAGAAUAAAACAGUCAUUUAGCUCUGAGGGAAGCAGUAAUGAAUUGUUGUGACUCUACCGUUUCAGAGACUCAUCCACAGUGAUAGCUAUUAAAGCUUCUUUGUACUUCUCCCUUUCCUUGGGGUCAUUGCAUAUAACCUCUUUCACAGCCAUUCGUAAUUCAUCUGUGGAUGAAAUGCAAGUUUUUUUUGUUGUUGUUAUUUGCCACACAGAAACAUGAUGAUCAACAUUAAAAUGGAUAAGGUUCCUCAAUUACUAAUCAGUCAAUAAACCAAAGAAUCCACAAAACAUUUUAGCAGUGUUCCAACAAAACCACAAGGCCAACAUACUUGAAAAAAACUCAGAAACACACAAUAAAACACCAGAACAUGGUGGGAGUAAAGAAGGGUAUGAAGAGUGACCUGCAUCAUCUCUCUCUCUCCGGGGAUUGAUAGUAAGACCCUUGUUAAAGGCCAUUCCUUUCACCUACCAUUAAACUGUUUCUUGAGGAAACUCAACAAUAAACAAUCCAAAAUUACAUAUAACACGAAUAGAGCAGAAAAGUACAAAUACCAAAGCUCUAAAGAGGCAGCGACCAUCCCCAGUAACUCUAUCCACAGCGUACUGCUCAACCUUCUUCGCUGCCGGAGACCCAUUCCUGGAGAUUGAGCAUAGAGAACACACUAGUGCUCAAACUCACAGAUUACCCUCGAUUUCAAACAAAACAAAAAAACGAGAAAACUCACAAGGAGGAACCGAUUCUGGCGAAGAAGGCAUAGCUAUUGCCCUGUAAGAAGGAAGCAGAGGAGAUUGAAGGAGUAGGGGAGGAAACAAGCUCGAACCGAGCGAGCCCAUGUCUCAGCUGCUCCAGAAGAAUGUUAUCUGCGCAAAGAGUAAUAAGACUUUGAUGUUGUUGUUCGGAUUAAACGACAACAUAUAAACAAAAAUGGUGCAGAGAAAUGAAGUGUUACUGUUCGAAGGUUUUAGCUCCUCCAUGGACAUCAACAAAUCUCUAUGGACAGAGGAUAAGAGAAGUGAAUUUGACUCUCCAACAAACCAGAAGAAGACGCGAGUGUGUAGCGAUGGAAGUUUUAUUAUGAUUACAUAUCUCGUAUAGAACAGCAAUCCGUUGUAGUCUAGCUGGUCAGGAUACUCGGCUCUCACCCGAGAGACCCGGGUUCGAGUCCCGGCAACGGAGAGUUUUUUAUCUCUUUUUAAAAACUCACACGGACGAGGAGGCCACACACGUGCCAAAAGUCAACUUUUUUAUGGUUUAACGACCAACCGGAAAAACUCUGGCAAUUGGCAACUAGAAUCUGAACUAAGCAACUUCUGCCUAAGAAUUAUCGAAACACUUACACACAAUACCCACGCGCUCUCUCACGCUCCCGUACACACACUUGUUUUCUUAUUCUCUAAUCGACUACGAUCUCUUCGAUGCUCUCACUACCUUCCUCCUUCAUUCCCUUCUGAUUCCACCCUCUUCAUCUUUGGAUCUCUCUCUCUCUCUCUGGCAUUAUCUUCUUUCUUUGAGGUGAGUUCUCUUGUUGAGACCUUUUGGUAUUAAGAUUUGGUUGUUUGUUUACUAUUAGAGACAAUGAGCAGUGAAACGAAUCUCACCAUCUUUGGAUUUAAUCAUGAAUCAUGCUUUUGAAAGUCAGCAGCUUUACCCACUCAAUUUGUCUUUUUUGGUUUCUGUCCCUGUCGGAUUUGUUCAGUUAAUCUGUUUUUUUUUUCAGCAAAGGAAUGGCUUCAAUGUCUCAUUCAUCCAUAGCAUUGUGUGGAGCUUCUGCUUCUGCUUCAGACCACCUGCGUAGUUCGACCAAUGGUGUCACUGGGGUCUCAUUGAGAACCCUAGGAAGAGCAAUGGUUGCAUCCACCAAAAGAAGCAACCUGUACGUGACAGCUCGGCUCAAGAAAGGCAAGAAGUUCGAUCACCCCUGGCCUUCCAACCCUGACCCGAACGUCAAAGGAGGAGUCUUGUCUUACCUCUCCACUUUCAAACCCUUGGGGGACACUCAAAAGCCCGUCACUCUUGAUUUCGAGAAGCCACUCGUUGAACUCGAGAAGAAGAUUGUCGAUG
RNAcentral lists this long non-coding RNA (5755 nucleotides) under Brassica napus (rape). RNAcentral describes it as "long non-coding RNA (BNAP_LNC002263)". The stretch from base 4798 to 4870 matches the Rfam family "tRNA". Lineage: Eukaryota; Viridiplantae; Streptophyta; Magnoliopsida; Brassicales; Brassicaceae. The record is from RNAcentral.